RNAcentral lists this long non-coding RNA (218 nucleotides) under Lathyrus oleraceus (garden pea). Its description in RNAcentral is "Pisum sativum (pea) long non-coding RNA (PSAT_LNC008015)". Lineage: Eukaryota; Viridiplantae; Streptophyta; Magnoliopsida; Fabales; Fabaceae. The record is from RNAcentral.
UGGCGUUCACCCCCCUCUGACCAUGCGCAGGCAUGGGAUUUGCAUUGACAUUGGGAGAUGGCGCGAAAUUGAUGGCCUUUGAAUCCACUAGGUCUUGGACUACGUGCUUAAAAGCUUUGCAGUCCUCCACAUUAUGCCCAGGCGCACCUGAGUGGAAUUCGCACUUGGCAUUUUCAUUAUAACUGGCUGGCCUCUGAUCAGGUCUCAAAGGCGCCAGC